RNAcentral lists this ribosomal RNA (429 nucleotides) under Acidobacteriota bacterium. RNAcentral's name for it is "Acidobacteria bacterium partial 16S ribosomal RNA". It matches the Rfam family "Bacterial small subunit ribosomal RNA", at positions 355 to 776 of the family's 1533-position model. The record is from RNAcentral. Lineage: Bacteria; Pseudomonadati; Acidobacteriota.
UGGGGAAUUUUGGAAAAUGGGGGAAACCCUGAUCCAGCCAUCCCGCGUGUGCGAUGAAGGCCUUCGGGUUGUAAAGCACUUUUGGCAGGAAAGAAACGUCAUGGGUUAAUACCCCGUGAAACUGACGGUACCUGCAGAAUAAGCACCGGCUAACUACGUGCCAGCAGCCGCGGUAAUACGUAGGGUGCAAGCGUUAAUCGGAAUUACUGGGCGUAAAGCGUGCGCAGGCGGUUCGGAAAGAAAGAUGUGAAAUCCCAGAGCUCAACUUUGGAACUGCAUUUUUAACUACCGGGCUAGAGUGUGUCGGAGGUAGGUGGAAUUCCGCGUGUAGCAGUGAAAUGCGUAGAUAUGCGGGGGAACACCGAUGGCAAAGGCAGCCUCCUGGGAUAACACUGACGCUCAUGCACGAAAGCGUGGGGAGCAAACAGG